AUUGAACGCUGGCGGCAUGCUUUACACAUGCAAGUCGAACGGUAACAGGUUAAGCUGACGAGUGGCGAACGGGUGAGUAAUGCAUCGGAACGUGCCCGAUCGUGGGGGAUAACGCAGCGGAAGCUGCGCUAAUACCGCAUACGAUCUGAGGAUGAAAGCGGGGGACCGUAAGGCCUCGCGCGAUCGGAGCGGCCGAUGUCAGAUUAGGUAGUUGGUCGGGUAAAGGCUCACCAAGCCAACGAUCUGUAGCUGGUCUGAGAGGACGACCAGCCACACUGGGACUGAGACACGGCCCAGACUCAUACGGGAGGCAGCAGGGGGGAAUUUUGGACAAUGGGCGAAAGCAUGAUCCAGCAAUGCCGCGUGCAGGAAGAAGGCCUUCGGGUUGUAACCUGCUUUUGUACGGAGCGAAAAGGUCUCCUCUAAUACAGGGGGCUCAUGACGGUACCGUAAGAAUAAGCACCGGCUAACUACGUGCCAGCCGCCGCGGUAA
RNAcentral lists this ribosomal RNA (493 nucleotides) under uncultured bacterium. RNAcentral's name for it is "partial 16S ribosomal RNA". It matches the Rfam family "Bacterial small subunit ribosomal RNA", at positions 29 to 523 of the family's 1533-position model. The record is from RNAcentral.